RNAcentral lists this ribosomal RNA (454 nucleotides) under uncultured bacterium. RNAcentral describes it as "bacterial SSU rRNA". It matches the Rfam family "Bacterial small subunit ribosomal RNA", at positions 29 to 526 of the family's 1533-position model. The record is from RNAcentral.
AACGAACGCUGGCGGCAGGCUUAACACAUGCAAGUCGAACGCCCUCGCAAGGGGGAGUGGCAGACGGGUGAGUAACACGUGGGAACAUACCCUCAGGUUCGGAACAACGCCGGGAAACUGGCGCUAAUACCGGAUACGCCCUGUGAAGGGGAAAGGCUUGCUGCCUGAGGAGUGGCCCGCGUUCGAUUAGCUAGAUGGCGGGGUAACGGCCCACCAUGGCGACGAUCGAUAGCUGGUCUGAGAGGAUGGCCAGCCACAUUGGGACUGAGACACGGCCCAAACUCCUACGGGAGGCAGCAGUGGGGAAUAUUGGACAAUGGGCGCAAGCCUGAUCCAGCCAUGCCGCGUGAGUGAUGACGGCCUUAGGGUUGUAAAGCUCUUUCGCACGCGACGAUAAUGACGGUAGCGUGAGAAGAAGCCCCGGCUAACUUCGUGCCAGCCGCCGCAGUAAAAC